This is a non-coding RNA of Ictalurus punctatus (channel catfish), 694 nucleotides long. The record is from the annotation of a RefSeq genome assembly. Lineage: Eukaryota; Metazoa; Chordata; Actinopteri; Siluriformes; Ictaluridae.
CAUACUCCACCUCAAAAGAGAAGGCAUUUAAUGAUGAACAUGAGAUGGGGGUGGUGAUUUGGGUGGGUCAUUGUACCGACUCCUGUUACUCCUGUUUUAUUUAAUUAGGCUUUCUUUUAACAUAUACUCUAUCAUUUUUUUCCCCCAACUUAAUUUUAAUAACUCUAGAUUCUACACCUUAUUUUCGCAAACAAAUAUUAGUUUAUGACACAGGAUGGCGCAUUAUGUACUGAUUGUUCAUUUUGUGCUGCUCUGGUUCACAGAUCGUUCAUUAAGCAGCAAAAUCAUUCAGACUACUGAUGUGAUCGAGAAUUCAGGAAAUAAUGUGAACCUCAGUUGCACUCAUACUUACAAGGACUUUUUUUACCUUUUCUGGUACCAACAAACAAGACAAGACACAUCACUGAAGCUUACUGGAUAUCUCUACACAACAACCUUCAAUAAGGAGACGGACUAUGAGAAGCGCUUUCAUAUUUACGGAGAUGCAAAAAGUGAAGGGAUCCUGCAGAUCUCCAACCUUAAUUCACAUGAUAGUGCAGUGUAUUUCUGUGCUGUUAGAGAAAGCACAGUGUCACGGUUAUCUGCUAUGUACUUCAAAAACUCCCUGUAUUAUAGUUAUGUAUGCUAUCUGCACAUCUCCAGCUGCUUCUGCUACAGAACGAAAAAGCAACAACUGAUCUUACUCUAUACAUAG